AGUGAACGCUGGCGGUAGGCCUAACACAUGCAAGUCGAACGGCAGCACAGUAAGAGCUUGCUCUUACGGGUGGCGAGUGGCGGACGGGUGAGGAAUACAUCGGAAUCUACUUUUUCGUGGGGGAUAACGUAGGGAAACUUACGCUAAUACCGCAUACGACCUACGGGUGAAAGCAGGGGAUCUUCGGCCCUUGCGCGAUGGAAUGAGCCGAUGUCGGAUUAGCUAGUUGGCGGGGUAAAGGCCCACCAAGGCGACGAUCCGUAGCUGGUCUGAGAGGAUGAUCAGCCACACUGGAACUGAGACACGGUCCAGACUCCUACGGGAGGCAGCAGUGGGGAAUAUUGGACAAUGGGCGCAAGCCUGAUCCAGCCAUACCGCGUGGGUGAAGAAGGCCUUCGGGUUGUAAAGCCCUUUUGUUGGGAAAGAAAAGCAGCAGGUUAAUACCCCGCUGUUCUGACGGUACCCAAAGAAUAAGCACCGGCUAACUUCGUG
RNAcentral lists this ribosomal RNA (492 nucleotides) under uncultured bacterium. Its description in RNAcentral is "partial 16S ribosomal RNA". It matches the Rfam family "Bacterial small subunit ribosomal RNA", at positions 29 to 507 of the family's 1533-position model. The record is from RNAcentral.